AUACAGAGGGUGCGAGCGUUAAUCGGAUUUACUGGGCGUAAAGCGCGCGUAGGGGGCUAAUUAAGUCAAAUGUGAAAUCCCCGAGCUUAACUUGGGAAUUGCAUUCGAUACUGGUUGGCUAGAGUAUGGGAGAGGAUGGUAGAAUUCCAGGUGUAGCGGUGAAAUGCGUAGAGAUCUGGAGGAAUACCGAUGGCGAAGGCAGCCAUCUGGCCUAAUACGGACACUGAGGUGCGAAAGCAUGGGGAGCAAACAGGAUUAGAUCCCCUGGUAGUCCAUGCCGUAAACGAUGCCUACUAGCCGUUGGGGGAUUUGAUCCUUUAGUGGCGCAGCUAACGCGAUAAGUAGACCGCCUGGGGAGUACGGUCGCAAGACUAAAACUCAAAUGAAUUGACGGGG
Molecule: ribosomal RNA, 396 nt
Filed under: uncultured bacterium
Lineage: Bacteria
Description: partial 16S ribosomal RNA
Rfam family: Bacterial small subunit ribosomal RNA
Source: RNAcentral